Triticum aestivum (bread wheat) is the source of this 2795-nucleotide long non-coding RNA. RefSeq lists it as uncharacterized. The transcript is spliced from 4 exons. Lineage: Eukaryota; Viridiplantae; Streptophyta; Magnoliopsida; Poales; Poaceae. The record is from RefSeq and is a predicted model, not a curated record.
UUCUCUCGAGGGGAUUGGACCGGCAGGAGCAGGCUCCAGCCCAUAUGCCACAUUCCGAUCGGUGGCGCUGCUCCGCCGCCCAGCGCCUCUCCGCGCAGUCCGGCGGCCGCAUCGCCUCUCGGCCUCCGCGAAAGCUAUCCAAGACACGGCGAGAAGCAGCCAUUCUCGUGUUCAUCUCCCAGUUCACCACUCCCGCGUAGAACGGCAACUCGCAAACCCUAGCGAAUCUCCCGAUCUGCAGCCACCCGGCACGUGCCGGCGGCCGGAAUUGAACAGCGAUUCGGGAAUCUUACGAACCGGCGGUUGGCGGCCGGUGCUAGCGCAUAUGUUUCGACAAUCUACGACUCGGAGGCGAUGCCUUCCCACUCGUAGCAGGCCGUGCUGUUGUUACGCCACGACAUGGCGAGGCCGCCAUCUCACGACAGCCCAGAAAGGAAACGGAGGAGGCUGCGCUUCUCCUGCUCAGUGCAUGCGGUGGCGGGAGAGGCAAAGAAGAGCAGCAGGAACAACUGCAGCACUACCGGAGGAACAGUGAAUGAAUGCAUUGGCUGGCAUUUGGUAGGCAGGCCCAAAGGGGGCACCAACCUACUAAGGCUGCGUUCGGUCCGGAGGAAAACUCAAAGGAAUCUGAUCCUGUGCUAUUUUCUACCUUUGGUGCGUUCGGAGUGAAGGAAAAAUGAGCAGUAAAACUUUGGAAUGUCUCGAUUCCUGUGUGAUUCCUACAGAUUUCACGGGAAAAGAAACAUCCAGUCAGACCUCUUGUUUAUCGCGGUUGGCCGAGGCAACACACUGGUUCUGACGUCUAAUCCAAUAAAAUAUUCAUUAUAUGGCAUGGAGUGUGAGAGAGUCAAGUCUGCAGCCAAAUAAAAAACACCCAAGGUACGGGUCACAACUGAGGUGAUGUGCAGCUUCUUUUGAUCACCGCCGAACGGUUCACUCCUGACUAUUUCUCUGUUUAAAAUUCCUCAGUUUCAUAUGUGCUUGUUUUCCCUAUUCCUUUACAUUUUUUUGUUCCCAUGUUUUCUGAUCCUGCAAACCGAACAGAGCCUAAUGGUUGUAUUUUUCCCAUGGUUCAUGUCUAUGGUGGAUAUUCUACUCAUAAUUAUUAUGUGGGGUCAUUUCCCACCAGCUCUUUGACUCUUUGUAGCUGAUGAAACAUAUCCAUGAUUUCAGUUUGAAAAAUUCCUUAAUGGUUAUUUUUUCUGACUUGUAGCUAAUGAAUAAAUAUCCAUGAUUUCAGCUUGAAAAACCGCUUCAUGGUUUUGUUUUUCUCAUGCUUCCUGUCAGUUCCUCAGAAAUCAUAUUAAUGUCAUUUCCUUUGGGAGAAGUCCUGGAACAAAAGCAGAAUUAAAGGUACAUAUCACAUAUGCAUCAUCCAUCAAUGUAAUAUUUCAGUGGGCUAGACCACUGGAGGCUGGUGGUGUUGCCACAGUGAUCUGCGGAUGGCGUUGGCCGUUGGAUGGGCCAUUUUCGUUGUCUUGUGGGGGCUGAAGAGCCACAGCUUUGUUUCCCUUGAGAGUGUCUUCUCUCUCUGAUGUUGGUCUAUGCAUGACGGCCUAGGCAUCUACGCGACGGGCAGUGCCUCACAGUGGUAAUACUGCGGCGAAGUCAAAAUCCUCGGGUCAUGAUCACGACCUUGUAAAGCACGGUAAUUGCGAUGCUAAUAUAUAUGGGCUUUUUUUGUGAUUGUAAUAUGUUUGAUUGAAUAGGUUGACAUGUUAAAUAGAGUGCAAAAUCAAAGGAAAUUGAUUUGGGAUCACGGCCUCCGUGGAGCCCGUAUUUUUCUUUUUACAAAAACCAUAUUUGAUUUAAAAAAAAUCUGAAAAAAUACACAUGAACCUAGGGAUAUAUAUUACAUCUCUGUAAACUUUCAUGAUGAAAGACGUCCUGUUUUUUUUUUAUACAGCUCACACCAAAACGUAUUUGAGCAUGAAACUUUACAAGAAUGUACUCCCUUUGUAAACUAAUAUAAGAUUUUCAUGUGUAUUUGUUUUCAGAAUUUUUUAAAAUUUAAAAUAUGAUUUUCGAAAUUUUAAGGAACAGGGCUCUAUGAAGCUCGGGAGCAAGAAAUCCACUCGCAAAAUCACAUGCUUUUACAGUUCUCUUUUAUAUCAACGGUAUCAAUGUUAACAUGUGAAAAAAGUGAUAUUGAGGGUCAGAGAGUGAGAGUGUCAACAGAAUUCUAUUUUCUCAUAUAUCAGUUAUGGUAGCCAAACGUGCUUUGCACGUACUCAUACCUAGUCGAUGUGAAGACAAUGGCGUCUUCUGGGGAUCUUGCAUCCAUUGAAUCUUCCAAACUCUGGCUAUUUCAUUCUAUAUGAAAAAUCCGGUAAGCCAUGUUCCAUAUGGAUAAGAUAUGGAGAAAUUGAAAAAAAGGAGCUAUGGGUAAAAAGGGAAAAGUGCUUAUUUGCAGAAAGCAACAGGAUCCAGAAACAUGAUACGUCAAGAUGUGAUGUAGAUGGGGGCUGCUUCAACCGAACCACAAUGGUUAAUAAGCACAGAGCCGCACAGCUUUGGGUUCCCACCAAAACUAGAAUUUUGAAAUGUGCUCAGCUGGCCUCUUGUUGGAAUAGGUCCUUCUAGGUUAUUGUUUGAUAUGUUGAAUUGCGAAAGGAAGUGAAGGUUCUCCAAUGCUGCAGGGAUUGCACCCGUCAGAUGAUUAUUAGACAGAUCUAGCCUCUGCAGGUUUGUGAGAUUGCAGAUCGAUUGUGGGAUCUCUCCAUAAAAGUUGUUGGAACUCAAGUUCAUGUAAAGGAGGGCUUUCAGCUGACCGAUCUCUCGUGGGAUCAUGCCUG